AUUGAACGCUGGCGGCAUGCCUUACACAUGCAAGUCGAACGGUAACGCGGGGCAACCUGGCGACGAGUGGCGAACGGGUGAGUAAUAUAUCGGAACGUGCCCAGUAGUGGGGGAUAGCCCGGCGAAAGCCGGAUUAAUACCGCAUACGACCUAAGGGUGAAAGCGGGGGAUCGCAAGACCUCGCGCUAUUGGAGCGGCCGAUAUCAGAUUAGGUAGUUGGUGGGGUAAAAGCCCACCAAGCCGACGAUCUGUAGCUGGUCUGAGAGGACGACCAGCCACACUGGGACUGAGACACGGCCCAGACUCCUACGGGAGGCAGCAGUGGGGAAUUUUGGACAAUGGGCGCAAGCCUGAUCCAGCCAUGCCGCGUGCGGGAAGAAGGCCUUCGGGUUGUAAACCGCUUUUGUCAGGGAAGAAACGCUCUGGGCUAAUACCCUGGGGUAAUGACGGUACCUGAAGAAUAAGCACCGGCUAACUACGUGCCAGCCGCCGCGGUAA
RNAcentral lists this ribosomal RNA (498 nucleotides) under uncultured bacterium. Its description in RNAcentral is "partial 16S ribosomal RNA". It matches the Rfam family "Bacterial small subunit ribosomal RNA", at positions 29 to 523 of the family's 1533-position model. The record is from RNAcentral.